This 74-nucleotide transfer RNA is filed under the name Flavobacteriales bacterium. RNAcentral's name for it is "tRNA-Met". It matches the Rfam family "tRNA". Rfam says of the family: Transfer RNA (tRNA) molecules are approximately 80 nucleotides in length. The record is from RNAcentral. Lineage: Bacteria; Pseudomonadati; Bacteroidota; Flavobacteriia; Flavobacteriales.
GGCGAGGUAGCUCAGUUGGUUAGAGCACUGGAUUCAUAACCCAGAGGUCACGGGUUCAAAUCCCGUUCUCGCUA